CCUAUCCUGAUUCCUUGAACCUAAUUGGAUUAGGUUUGAACCUUUAGACAUUUAGGUGGCUUGAUUAAUUAGUUUGAAAGAGUUGCAUCCUAAUCCAACCACCCCCUCACUUCUCCAUGCCAUUUAUUCCACACCAUUUAAUGUUGUUGCCCAUAAUAAGUAGCACCCAAAAGGAAGAGUCCUUCUGGGCUACUCCUCUUAACUCCUUUACUUAAAUUCCCACGCUUUUCUUUAUUUCACGUGCCAUCAGAUGGUUUUUGAGAAUAAAUGGGCGCAGGAGAGGAGUCCUUCUGUAUGAAGGCUCUUCUAUACCAUAAGUUAUUGCACGAUGAAUUAAAUCACCACAUGAGUAAACCAAGCACC
RNAcentral lists this long non-coding RNA (363 nucleotides) under Elaeis guineensis (African oil palm). Its description in RNAcentral is "long non-coding RNA (EGUI_LNC076107)". The record is from RNAcentral. Lineage: Eukaryota; Viridiplantae; Streptophyta; Magnoliopsida; Arecales; Arecaceae.